GUGAGGAAUAUUGGUCAAUGGGCGGGAGCCUGAACCAGCCAAGUCGCGUGAAGGAAGAAGGAUCUAUGGUUCGUAAACUUCUUUUGCAGGGGAAUAAAGUGCAGGACGUGUCCUGUUUUGUAUGUACCCUGAGAAUAAGGAUCGGCUAACUCCGUGCCAGCAGCCGCGGUAAUACGGAGGAUCCGAGCGUUAUCCGGAUUUAUUGGGUUUAAAGGGUGCGUAGGUGGUUUGAUAAGUCAGCGGUGAAAGUUUGCAGCUUAACUGUAAAAAUGCCGUUGAAACUGUCGAACUUGAGUGUAAAUGAGGUAGGCGGAAUGCGUGGUGUAGCGGUGAAAUGCAUAGAUAUCACGCAGAACUCCGAUUGCGAAGGCAGCUUACUAAUCUACAACUGUCACUGGAGCACGAAAGCGUGGGGAUCAAACAGGAUUAGAAACCCUGGUAGUCC
This 445-nucleotide ribosomal RNA is filed under the name uncultured bacterium. RNAcentral's name for it is "partial 16S ribosomal RNA". It matches the Rfam family "Bacterial small subunit ribosomal RNA", at positions 354 to 796 of the family's 1533-position model. The record is from RNAcentral.